UAUGUAUAUAUGUGUGCGUGUCUGUAUAUAUACAUUUAUACACACACACACACACACACACACACACACACACACACACACACACAUAU
This 89-nucleotide microRNA precursor is filed under the name Mus musculus (house mouse). RNAcentral describes it as "predicted gene, 55672 (ENSMUSG00002074872.1)". The record is from RNAcentral. Lineage: Eukaryota; Metazoa; Chordata; Mammalia; Rodentia; Muridae.